ACUGCCCUGAAAGACAGCGGAGACCAGGACAACUAGAGUCCCAGAUACAGAUCCCCUGUAAAGACCUUGUCUCAGAGGACCACCAGGACAAGACCACAGGAAACAGAUGAUUCUUCUGCACAAUCUGACUUUGCUGCAGCCUGGAAUUGAACUACUGGUUUCGUCUGGUCAGAGGAGAACUGGCCCCCAACUGAGCCUGGUUUCUCCCAAGGUUUUUUUCUCCAUUCUGUCACCGAUGGAGUUUCGGUUCCUUGCCGCUGUCGCCUCUGGCUUGCUUAGUUGGGGUCACUUCAUCUACAGCGAUAUCGUUGACUUGAUUGCAAAUUAAAACAGACACUAUUUCAACUGAA
This is a long non-coding RNA of Carassius gibelio (silver crucian carp), 350 nucleotides long. RefSeq lists it as uncharacterized. The record is from RefSeq and is a predicted model, not a curated record. NCBI's taxonomy places the organism in Eukaryota, Metazoa, Chordata, Actinopteri, Cypriniformes, Cyprinidae. The transcript is spliced from 2 exons.